CCUUGAGCUAUGGCUCCUGAAACAGAUGAAGGUCUCCAUCUUGUCGGUGCUGGGGCAGUUUACACACAUUUAAUCUAUGAAAGUCCUGUGUAUACAUCCUACCAUGAAGUUUCCUUUUUUGUUCCUGCCUCAGUAUGAAACCUACAGGCUUUCUUUCUGCAUCAGAUAAAACAAUAAGCUUACUCUUCAGCAUGUUCUGGAGUCCUCAUCCUCCAGCUGUCCUAACUGGGAGUCAUCUGAACUGCAAAACAAAGAGGGAGACUGAUUCACACUUGUGUCUUCUACAGGCAAUGUUCUCAACAUGUCUUUCAAGCACUGAGAUUCGUAAAAGACCUGCCAGCCUCAAACAACACCCUCUUUCUUCACAUUAGAAAUGGAAACACGUCCUCUGCAGGAAUUUUCCACUUAAUAGCUCCUGCUUUCCUACCGGGGGCCUCAGUGCACCACCACUGCAAUGCUGUAUUUCUUUCCACUGCAGUUUGACAUUUUGCAGCCAGAACAACGAGCGGCAUUCACUCCAUCCUGAUUUUUGAAAAACAUAUCUCUAUAGGCACACAGAACGCACCCAGUGCAGCAAUCACCAGGGAGAAAUGGCAAAGGUAUUUAAACGUCGUUACAUGGCACUAAGGAUAUGACAUUUUGUAGUAAUAAUGAUCUUUUAUGCAGUUGCUUUUCCUUACUCCCCCCCUCCAACCCUUAUACAUAAACACGCAAACAUCAAAGCCUCUACCCUGCUCUCCCAUUACCAGGCAGUCUCAUGUUCUACACUUGAUUGUAAUUGUUUGCCUUUGUGAAUUAUUUCCUUUGCGUAAUAUUUGCAAACUGUAUAUGAGGUCCUGACACUGUGAGGAGCAGAAAUGCAGAUUGCAGAUAAUCUGAGCAGUAAACACGGAGCCUGCUUUAAAAUGCGCGGAGUGACCUGUCUGAAAGCAGCAAUAUUUGCGAACUGUUUACUGCUGAGAUGCAAUGAUGUUGUCUGAAAUGCAGCAGCCUGAAGAUUGGAGCAAAAUGGGAUCUCAGACACUUGGUCAAGCACAACCUGUGAUUUUUUUUAUUUGUUGUUUGGGUUGUGCUUUUUUAAAGUUAGAGCUGUAUUAUCAAUUAUUAAAAGCUAAUUUCCAAAAAUCCA
This is a long non-coding RNA of Grus americana (Whooping crane), 1129 nucleotides long. RefSeq lists it as uncharacterized. The record is from RefSeq and is a predicted model, not a curated record. NCBI's taxonomy places the organism in Eukaryota, Metazoa, Chordata, Aves, Gruiformes, Gruidae. The transcript is spliced from 2 exons.